UACGUAGGGGGCAAGCGUUGUCCGGAUUUAUUGGGCGUAAAGCGCUCGCAGGUGGUCCGUUGUGUCGGGCGUGAAAGACCCCGGCUCAACUGGGGAGUGUCGUGCGAUACGGGCGGACUGGAGGCCAGUAGGGGGAUGCGGAAUUCCGGGUGUAGUGGUGGAAUGCGUAGAGAUCCGGCGGAACACCGGUGGCGAAGGCGGUCUCCUGGGCCGAGGGCCGACGCUGAGGCGCGAGAGCGUGGGGAGCGAACAGG
This 254-nucleotide ribosomal RNA is filed under the name uncultured bacterium. Its description in RNAcentral is "partial 16S ribosomal RNA". It matches the Rfam family "Bacterial small subunit ribosomal RNA", at positions 524 to 776 of the family's 1533-position model. The record is from RNAcentral.